GGACGAACGCCGGCGGCGUGCUUAACACAUGCAAGUCGAGCGGUAAGGCCCUUUCGGGGUACACGAGCGGCGAACGGUGAGUAACACGUGGGUGACCUGCCCUUAGCUCUCGGGAUAAGCCUGGGAAACUGGGUCUAAUACCGGAUAUGACUCCAUAACGCAUGUUGUGGGGUGGAAAGCCUUGUGCGGCUAGGGAUGGGCCCGCGGCCUAUCAGCUUGUUGGUGGGGUGAUGGCCACCAAGGCGACGACGGGUAGCCGGCCUGAGAGGGCGACCGGCCACACUGGGACCGAGACACGGCCCAGACUCCUACGGGAGGCAGCAGUGGGGAAUCUUGCGCAAUGGCGAAAGCCUGACGCAGCGACGCCGCGU
RNAcentral lists this ribosomal RNA (371 nucleotides) under uncultured bacterium. RNAcentral describes it as "bacterial SSU rRNA". It matches the Rfam family "Bacterial small subunit ribosomal RNA", at positions 27 to 402 of the family's 1533-position model. The record is from RNAcentral.